RNAcentral lists this small RNA (167 nucleotides) under human gut metagenome. Its description in RNAcentral is "Clostridiales-1 RNA". It matches the Rfam family "Clostridiales-1 RNA". The record is from RNAcentral.
GAUGCCAGGGUCGAAAGGUCUUUCACCCACAUGAGCUUGCUCAUAUGGGUGGGAAUGACUUUGAGACCCGCCCCGAUAUGAGCAUAAAAGUGAAGCGCUAGCUUCGCGAUAUGCGAAUAUCGGCAGGAUUGCGUGAGUGCGCAAGCACGGAGCAAUCCGUUGGCAUC